CUUCUUUUUAGGGAUGGAACCUCAGCCUGUGCCAGAGCUGAGUGGCCCCAGAAGACACUGAGGAUGGCCUGAGACCUGAGCCUAAGCGACUCCAUUUUAAAACUCCAGUUUGAAACCUGCAGUCUCACCAGGCACACCCACAGAGCCCUCCAGUGUGGCCUCAGACAAGUCACUUCCCCUCACCCUGAGAAGCAGAGUGAAGCCCCUGGCAGGCUGUCCUCCCCUGAUCAGAGGCAAAGGGAGAAGAUCAGGGUGGAGACCACCAGACCAGAUGUCUCUGACCCCAGGGUAAAUGACGUCACUGAGAAAUCUGGUGGUAGAUAAGGGUUGCAAGGGGCGGGUCAAAAGCCCCCAAAUUUAGUAUAAAUAACAGAGCUGACCAACAGGGAUUCAGCCGGCUGAAACAGGAUGCACUCGAGCUGGAGAGCCUGAUGAGGACCUGACGUCCCAUCACUUGUCACCGUUCCUGAUCCUCUGCAUGACCCUCACGGCUCUCAAACUCUACCGCCUAGUCUGGACCUGGGUGAGAGCUGCGGCUUCUUCCUAGGACCCUCUCCUCGACCCGUCGUCCACUCCACACCAGGUAAAGCUUGCUUUGGCUCCGGACCUGGUCACUGCAGUCUGAGUGAGUGUGCAUCUGCUGGACAUAAAGCCUAAGGCUUGAGACUUUUGAACUUAGCACGCAGAGGGAAUGUCUGUCACUAGCCUGUCAUGAUUAAGUGUGUUUGCAGUGCUGAGCAUUAAUCCAGAAUUGUUUGCUGUGAAUGGAUUAUGUCUAUUGCAGUGCCUAGCAUUAAGAUUUCCAUUUUCUAGAUUAAGAACCUGUAGAGUGAAAUUGCAUUGAGUAAUUUGAGUAAAUAAAGCAUCGAA
This 870-nucleotide long non-coding RNA is filed under the name Marmota monax (woodchuck). Lineage: Eukaryota; Metazoa; Chordata; Mammalia; Rodentia; Sciuridae. The record is from RNAcentral.